Molecule: small RNA, 273 nt
Filed under: Thermothielavioides terrestris NRRL 8126
Lineage: Eukaryota; Fungi; Ascomycota; Sordariomycetes; Sordariales; Chaetomiaceae
Description: Thielavia terrestris NRRL 8126 A. fumigatus sRNA Afu_309
Rfam family: A. fumigatus sRNA Afu_309
Source: Rfam by way of RNAcentral
UUCUCUCCACGGAUCUGUGCCCAGCGAUCCUCUGCCACCACGGUGGUCAGGGUCGAUUGCUGCGGCAGUUCGGUAACCAAGGAGCCAUCUCGCCCUUCCAUGAUGUCAAUUUCCUCCCGACAGGUCCAAGAUCGACCGAACUCCGGGGAGCUCCGUUCGCUGUAACAGGCUUGAGCGUUGUGAACCGGAUGAUUUAGGAGACGCCAUAUUCCGAGCCGUUCGCCGAGACCGUCGGUCUAUGAGGCUGGGGAAAACCAUGGCUGUGCUACAUUC